GUCGCUCCCUUUUAAAGUCAACAACCGUUGAAAAUUUAAUUUUUUUGCAUAACAACAUGUAAAUCGGAACGCUAAAAUGAAGAAAACGAAAAGUAUAUAUAUGUUUCGAUAUUUUCAAAGACAACCCCACGUUAAUUUUAUCUGUAUUAUUCAAAUUUCCAAAAUCUGUCAGUAACUUUGUUUGUCGCGAGAAAAAUGGCGAAGAAUAAUAAAAAUAAUAAUAUAAUAAAUAAUAUAAAUAAAUAAAAUAAAAGUCGAGAUCGAUUCCAAAGCUGAC
This is a long non-coding RNA of Drosophila miranda, 277 nucleotides long. RefSeq lists it as uncharacterized. The record is from RefSeq and is a predicted model, not a curated record. NCBI's taxonomy places the organism in Eukaryota, Metazoa, Arthropoda, Insecta, Diptera, Drosophilidae. The transcript has 2 exons.